CGAUAUACAGUCAGCGGCCAAGCGAAAGUAUUAAGUGAUGCACCUGGGGAGUACGCCGGCAACGGUGAAACUCAAAGGAAUUGACGGGGCCCGCACAAGCGGUGGAGCAUGUGGUUUAAUUCGAUGAUACGCGAGGAACCUUACCAGGGCUUAAAUGUAGUUUGACCGGUCUGGAAACAGACUUUCUCUUCGGAGCAGAUUACAAGGUGCUGCAUGGUUGUCGUCAGCUCGUGCCGUGAGGUGUUAGGUUAAGUCCUGCAACGAGCGCAACCCCUAUUCUUAGUUGCCAGCGGUUCGGCCGGGGACUCUAAGAAGACUGCCAGCGCAAGCUGAGAGGAAGGUGGGGAUGACGUCAAAUCAUCACGGCCCUUACGUCCUGGGCUACACACGUGCUACAAUGGUAGAGACAGAGGGCAGCCACCUGGUGACAGGGAGCGAAUCCUUAAACUCUAUCUCAGUUCGGAUCGAAGUCUGCAACUCGACUUCGUGAAGCUGGAAUCGCUAGUAAUCGCGCAUCAGCCAUGGCGCGGUGAAUACGUUCCCGGGCCUUGUACACACCGCCCGUCAAGCCAUGGAAGCUGGGGGUACCUGAAGUCGGUACCCGUAAGGAGCUGCCUAGGUAAAACUAGUAACUAGGGCUAAGUCGUAACAAGUAGCCAAGGCGAAUUCCAGCACACU
This 678-nucleotide ribosomal RNA is filed under the name uncultured bacterium. Its description in RNAcentral is "bacterial SSU rRNA". It matches the Rfam family "Bacterial small subunit ribosomal RNA", at positions 830 to 1533 of the family's 1533-position model. The record is from RNAcentral.